RNAcentral lists this ribosomal RNA (738 nucleotides) under Piscibacillus sp. RNAcentral describes it as "bacterial SSU rRNA". It matches the Rfam family "Bacterial small subunit ribosomal RNA", at positions 56 to 762 of the family's 1533-position model. The record is from RNAcentral. Lineage: Bacteria; Bacillati; Bacillota; Bacilli; Caryophanales; Bacillaceae.
UGCAGUCGAGCGCGGGAAGCAGACUGAAUCCUUCGGGAGGACGUCUGUGGAACGAGCGGCGGACGGGUGAGUAACACGUGGGCAACCUGCCUGUAAGACUGGGAUAACUCCGGGAAACCGGGGCUAAUACCGGAUAACUCAUCGAAUCGCAUGAUUCGAUGUUGAAAGAUGGCUUCUUGCUAUCACUUACAGAUGGGCCCGCGGCGCAUUAGCUAGUUGGUGAGGUAACGGCUCACCAAGGCCACGAUGCGUAGCCGACCUGAGAGGGUGAUCGGCCACACUGGGACUGAGACACGGCCCAGACUCCUACGGGAGGCAGCAGUAGGGAAUCAUCCGCAAUGGACGAAAGUCUGACGGUGCAACGCCGCGUGAGUGAGGAAGGCCUUCGGGUCGUAAAACUCUGUUGUUAGGGAAGAACAAGUUCCGUUCGAAUAGGGCGGAGCCUUGACGGUACCUAACCAGAAAGCCACGGCUAACUACGUGCCAGCAGCCGCGGUAAUACGUAGGUGGCAAGCGUUGUCCGGAAUUAUUGGGCGUAAAGCGCGCGCAGGCGGUUCCUUAAGUCUGAUGUGAAAGCCCACGGCUCAACCGUGGAGGGUCAUUGGAAACUGGGGAACUUGAAGACAGAAGAGGAGAGCGGAAUUCCACGUGUAGCGGUGAAAUGCGUAGAGAUGUGGAGGAACACCAGUGGCGAAGGCGGCUCUCUGGUCUGUGCUUGACGCUGAGGCGCGAAAGCGU